Molecule: ribosomal RNA, 324 nt
Filed under: uncultured bacterium
Lineage: Bacteria
Description: bacterial SSU rRNA
Rfam family: Bacterial small subunit ribosomal RNA
Source: RNAcentral
AUCUGUCUUUAGUGGGGACAACCCAGGGAACUUGGGCUAAUACCGCAUGAGCCCUGAGGGGGAAAGCGGGGGAUCUUCGGACCUCGCGCUAAGAGAAGAGCCUACGUCUGAUUAGCUAGUUGGUAGGGUAAAGGCCUACCAAGGCGACGAUCAGUAGCUGGUCUGAGAGGACGACCAGCCACACUGGGACUGAGACACGGCCCAGACUCCUACGGGAGGCAGCAGUGGGGAAUUUUUCGCAAUGGGGGCAACCCUGACGAAGCAAUGCCGCGUGGAUGAAGAAGGCCUUCGGGUUGUAAAGUCCUUUCGUGGGGGACGAAAAGG